UCGAGAAUCUUCCGCAAUGGACGAAAGUCUGACGGAGCGACGCCGCGUGGAGGAUGAAGUGCUUCGGCAUGUAAACUCCUUUUGCCAGGGAAAAAGUUAUUGAUUGUACCUGGAGAAUAAGAGGUUGCUAAACUCGUGCCAGCAGCAGCGGUAAUACGAGUGCCUCGAGCGUUAUCCGGAAUUAUUGGGCGUAAAGGGUGUGUAGGCGGUAGUGUUAGUCUUGUGUUAAAUCUAUUGGCUCAACCGAUAG
Molecule: ribosomal RNA, 250 nt
Filed under: uncultured bacterium
Lineage: Bacteria
Description: partial 16S ribosomal RNA
Rfam family: Bacterial small subunit ribosomal RNA
Source: RNAcentral